Molecule: ribosomal RNA, 326 nt
Filed under: uncultured eukaryote
Lineage: Eukaryota
Description: partial 18S ribosomal RNA
Rfam family: Eukaryotic small subunit ribosomal RNA
Source: RNAcentral
CCCUUAGAUGUUCUGGGCUGCACGCGCGCUACACUGAUGCACUCAUCGAGUUUAUGACCUUGUCCGAGAGGAUUGGGUAAUCUUCUUAAAAUGCAUCGUGAUGGGGAUAGAUUAUUGCAAUUAUUAAUCUUCAACGAGGAAUUCCUAGUAAGCGCGAGUCAUCAGCUCGUGCUGAUUACGUCCCUGCCCUUUGUACACACCGCCCGUCGCUCCUACCGACUGAGUGAUCCGGUGAAUAAUUCGGACUGCAGCAAUGUUUGGAUCCCGAACAUUGCAGUGGAAAGUUUAGUGAACCUUAUCACUUAGAGGAAGGAGAAGUCGUAACA